CCUCACCAGCUGAUGGCUCACCAGGUCCAGCUCUGACUCCCUGGAGGUUAUCCUUGCCCUCCAAAGUGAUAAAGUGAUUCAUCAAAUGAUUUGAACCUGCACCACUCUGUGUCUGAAGAAAUGAAAAAGAAUAUGUAAUUUUGAGAGGAAAAACUCACCCG
Molecule: long non-coding RNA, 161 nt
Organism: Electrophorus electricus (electric eel)
Lineage: Eukaryota; Metazoa; Chordata; Actinopteri; Gymnotiformes; Gymnotidae
Source: RefSeq, a predicted model, not a curated record